This 834-nucleotide long non-coding RNA is filed under the name Gossypium raimondii (Peruvian cotton). Its description in RNAcentral is "long non-coding RNA (GRAI_LNC000989)". The record is from RNAcentral. Lineage: Eukaryota; Viridiplantae; Streptophyta; Magnoliopsida; Malvales; Malvaceae.
CAGACAAAAAAAGUUUAGAAAUAUUGUUUUUAAAGGAACAAUUGAAAGAAGAUAGAAAUGAGAAGGACCCGUCAAUAGAGAAGCUAAUGAUACCUACAGCCAUCCAUACAAGGUGCUUAGGGCCAGGGUUAGUGAACUAUAAUCAUACCAUCACAAUAUAAGCAACCAACUAACCUUACUGAGUAAAUCAGAGAGUUUUUUCAUCUUGGCCUCCAUCAAUGCAAUAUGUUUCAGACUGUUAAGAAUUUCACAGGCAAUUUGCUUAACUGCAAAACAAUAUAGUAAGUAUACACAUUUGCAUAAAAAGCUUCACAAAAUUAUGGCAAUCAAAACAUACCUGCAUACAAAAGUAAGCUCUCAAACUCACCGUGUCGUCCGAGAUAGAGCAGCGGUACCCUUUCCACCAGUUAGACCCACGAAAAAGGUUAUAAAUCAUCAGAGUAACCUCUUGAAAACAAAUGAUAUCAAGGGAAUGAAGGGGAAUGAAGUUGAAUACAUAUUUCACAGUUGGAUUUGUUGUAAAGGUUCAAAAAAGUGCAAGCUUUACAAGCCCAUUUAGACGGAGAAGACGGUUAUGUGAAGACGAUUUCACUUAAUUCAAUGGGUCUUCAACAAAUUACAAACAAAAAAAUAAACAAAAACACGGAAACCCAAACUUUUUAUACGCAAAAUAAAGAAAUCGAACCUUAAAAGUCUAAUUCACCAAAAACCAGAAUCGAAUGCCACCUUCUUCGUCUUCUCUGUGUGGGUUAUGUAAGUUUGCAAGAAACCCAAACACUGAACCUUUUCCUUGUAAGUAAAAAAAGCAACCGAGGAAUCGGGGGUAAGAAAUCG